Molecule: ribosomal RNA, 499 nt
Filed under: uncultured Glomeromycotina
Lineage: Eukaryota; Fungi; Glomeromycota
Description: partial small subunit ribosomal RNA
Rfam family: Eukaryotic small subunit ribosomal RNA
Source: RNAcentral
CCAAUAGCGUAUAUUAAAGUUGUUGCAGUUAAAAAGCUCGUAGUUGAAUUUCGGGAUCAAGGAAUCGGUCAUGCCUCGGUAUGUACUGGUUUUAUUGGUUCUCACCUUCUAAAGAACCAUAAUGUCAUUCAUUUGAUGUUAUGGGGAAUUAGGACUGUUACCUUGAAAAAAUUAGAGUGUUUAAAGCAAGCUUACGCUUGAAUACAUUAGCAUGGAAUAAUGAAAUAGGACAUCCGAUUCUAUUUUGUUGGUUUCUAGGAUCGAUGUAAUGAUUAAUAGGGAUAGUUGGGGGCAUUAGUAUUCAAUUGUCAGAGGUGAAAUUCUUGGAUUUAUUGAAGACUAACUACUGCGAAAGCAUUUGCCAAGGAUGUUUUCAUUAAUCAAGAACGAAAGUUAGGGGAUCGAAGACGAUCAGAUACCGUCGUAGUCUUAACCAUAAACUAUGCCGACUAGGGAUCGGAUGAUGUUUAUUUUUUAGUGACUCAUUCGGCACCUUACG